This 424-nucleotide ribosomal RNA is filed under the name uncultured bacterium. RNAcentral describes it as "bacterial SSU rRNA". It matches the Rfam family "Bacterial small subunit ribosomal RNA", at positions 28 to 440 of the family's 1533-position model. The record is from RNAcentral.
GAUGAACGCUAGCUACAGGCUUAACACAUGCAAGUCGAGGGGAAACGAUAGAGAAAGCUUGCUUUUUCUAGGCGUCGACCGGCGCACGGGUGAGUAACGCGUAUCCAACCUGCCCACCACUUGGGGACAACCUUGCGAAAGUAAGACUAAUACCCAAUGACGUCUCUAGAAGACAUCUGAAAGAGAUUAAAGAUUUAUCGGUGAUGGAUGGGGAUGCGUCUGAUUAGCUUGUUGGCGGGGUAACGGCCCACCAAGGCGACGAUCAGUAGGGGUUCUGAGAGGAAGGUCCCCCACAUUGGAACUGAGACACGGUCCAGACUCCUACGGGAGGCAGCAGUGGGGGAAUCUUCCGCAAUGGGCGAAAGCCUGACGGAGCAACGCCGCGUGAGUGAUGACGGCCUUCGGGUUGUAAAACGUCUAGUGA